This 1563-nucleotide ribosomal RNA is filed under the name Vibrio parahaemolyticus. RNAcentral describes it as "bacterial SSU rRNA". It matches the Rfam family "Bacterial small subunit ribosomal RNA". The record is from RNAcentral. Lineage: Bacteria; Pseudomonadati; Pseudomonadota; Gammaproteobacteria; Vibrionales; Vibrionaceae.
AAAUUGAAGAGUUUGAUCAUGGCUCAGAUUGAACGCUGGCGGCAGGCCUAACACAUGCAAGUCGAGCGGAAACGAGUUAACUGAACCUUCGGGGGACGAUAACGGCGUCGAGCGGCGGACGGGUGAGUAAUGCCUAGGAAAUUGCCCUGAUGUGGGGGAUAACCAUUGGAAACGAUGGCUAAUACCGCAUGAUGCCUACGGGCCAAAGAGGGGGACCUUCGGGCCUCUCGCGUCAGGAUAUGCCUAGGUGGGAUUAGCUAGUUGGUGAGGUAAGGGCUCACCAAGGCGACGAUCCCUAGCUGGUCUGAGAGGAUGAUCAGCCACACUGGAACUGAGACACGGUCCAGACUCCUACGGGAGGCAGCAGUGGGGAAUAUUGCACAAUGGGCGCAAGCCUGAUGCAGCCAUGCCGCGUGUGUGAAGAAGGCCUUCGGGUUGUAAAGCACUUUCAGUCGUGAGGAAGGUAGUGUAGUUAAUAGCUGCAUUAUUUGACGUUAGCGACAGAAGAAGCACCGGCUAACUCCGUGCCAGCAGCCGCGGUAAUACGGAGGGUGCGAGCGUUAAUCGGAAUUACUGGGCGUAAAGCGCAUGCAGGUGGUUUGUUAAGUCAGAUGUGAAAGCCCGGGGCUCAACCUCGGAAUUGCAUUUGAAACUGGCAGACUAGAGUACUGUAGAGGGGGGUAGGAAUUUCAGGUGUAGCGGUGAAAUGCGUAGAGAUCUGAAGGAAUACCGGUGGCGAAGGCGGCCCCCUGGACAGAUACUGACACUCAGAUGCGAAAGCGUGGGGAGCAAACAGGAUUAGAUACCCUGGUAGUCCACGCCGUAAACGAUGUCUACUUGGAGGUUGUGGCCUUGAGCCGUGGCUUUCGGAGCUAACGCGUUAAGUAGACCGCCUGGGGAGUACGGUCGCAAGAUUAAAACUCAAAUGAAUUGACGGGGGCCCGCACAAGCGGUGGAGCAUGUGGUUUAAUUCGAUGCAACGCGAAGAACCUUACCUACUCUUGACAUCCAGAGAACUUUCCAGAGAUGGAUUGGUGCCUUCGGGAACUCUGAGACAGGUGCUGCAUGGCUGUCGUCAGCUCGUGUUGUGAAAUGUUGGGUUAAGUCCCGCAACGAGCGCAACCCUUAUCCUUGUUUGCCAGCGAGUAAUGUCGGGAACUCCAGGGAGACUGCCGGUGAUAAACCGGAGGAAGGUGGGGACGACGUCAAGUCAUCAUGGCCCUUACGAGUAGGGCUACACACGUGCUACAAUGGCGCAUACAGAGGGCGGCCAACUUGCGAAAGUGAGCGAAUCCCAAAAAGUGCGUCGUAGUCCGGAUUGGAGUCUGCAACUCGACUCCAUGAAGUCGGAAUCGCUAGUAAUCGUGGAUCAGAAUGCCACGGUGAAUACGUUCCCGGGCCUUGUACACACCGCCCGUCACACCAUGGGAGUGGGCUGCAAAAGAAGUAGGUAGUUUAACCUUCGGGGGGACGCUUACCACUUUGUGGUUCAUGACUGGGGUGAAGUCGUAACAAGGUAGCGCUAGGGGAACCUGGCGCUGGAUCACCUCCUUAAACGAUGAU